GUGGGGAAUUUUGGACAAUGGGGGCAACCCUGAUCCAGCAAUGCCGCGUGAGUGAAGAAGGCCUUCGGGUUGUAAAGCUCUUUUGUCAGGGAAGAAAAGGUGGUGUCUAAUACAUGCCACUCAUGACGGUACCUGAAGAAUAAGCACCGGCUAACUACGUGCCAGCAGCCGCGGUAAUACGUAGGGUGCAAGCGUUAAUCGGAAUUACUGGGCGUAAAGCGUGCGCAGGCGGUUAUAUAAGUCAGAUGUGAAAUCCCCGGGCUCAACCUGGGAACUGCAUUUGAGACUGUAUGGCUAGAGUGUGUCAGAGGGGGGUAGAAUUCCACGUGUAGCAGUGAAAUGCGUAGAUAUGUGGAGGAAUACCGAUGGCGAAGGCAGCCCCCUGGGAUAACACUGACGCUCAUGCACGAAAGCGUGGGGAGCAAACAGGAUUAGAUACCCUAGUAGUCC
Molecule: ribosomal RNA, 450 nt
Filed under: uncultured bacterium
Lineage: Bacteria
Description: bacterial SSU rRNA
Rfam family: Bacterial small subunit ribosomal RNA
Source: RNAcentral